RNAcentral lists this ribosomal RNA (349 nucleotides) under Prometopia sp. MJM-2013. RNAcentral's name for it is "partial 12S ribosomal RNA". The record is from RNAcentral. Lineage: Eukaryota; Metazoa; Arthropoda; Insecta; Coleoptera; Nitidulidae.
UAAUGUAAAGAUAAAUUUUUUCUUGACAAGUAAAAGUUAAGAUCUUAAAAAUUAAAGAUUUUGGCGGUAUUAUAGUCUGCUCAGAGGAACCUGCCCUAUAAUCGAUAGUCCACGUUUAAUUAAACUUAAUUUUUUAAUUUGUAUAUCGUCGUAGGUUGAAUAUUUUAAAAGAAUAAAAAUAAUCAAAAUUUGGUAUUUUAAAAUAAAUCAGAUCAAGGUGUAGUUAAUAAUUAAGAAGAGGUGGGUUACAAUAAAUUUAUUUAUGGAUUAUUUUUUGAAAAAGAAGAUAAAAAUGGAUUUGGAAGUAAUUUUAAAGAUUUUUUUUUAGUGACUAUGGCUCUAUAAUAUG